RNAcentral lists this ribosomal RNA (425 nucleotides) under uncultured bacterium. Its description in RNAcentral is "partial 16S ribosomal RNA". It matches the Rfam family "Bacterial small subunit ribosomal RNA", at positions 354 to 796 of the family's 1533-position model. The record is from RNAcentral.
GUGGGGAAUCUUGCGCAAUGGGCGAAAGCCUGACGCAGCCAUGCCGCGUGGAUGAUGAAGGUCUUAGGAUUGUAAAAUCCUUUCACCGGUGAAGAUAAUGACUGUAGCCGGAGAAGAAGCCCCGGCUAACUUCGUGCCAGCAGCCGCGGUAAUACGAAGGGGGCUAGCGUUGCUCGGAUUUACUGGGCGUAAAGGGCGCGUAGGCGGACAUUUAAGUCAGGGGUGAAAUCCCGGGGCUCAACCUCGGAACUGCCUUUGAUACUGGGUGUCUUGAGUAUGAGAGAGGGGUGUGGAACUCCGAGUGUAGAGGUGAAAUUCGUAGAUAUUCGGAAGAACACCAGUGGCGAAGGCGACACACUGGCUCAUUACUGACGCUGAGGCGCGAAAGCGUGGGGAGCAAACAGGAUUAGAAACCCGUGUAGUCC